RNAcentral lists this ribosomal RNA (440 nucleotides) under uncultured bacterium. Its description in RNAcentral is "partial 16S ribosomal RNA". It matches the Rfam family "Bacterial small subunit ribosomal RNA", at positions 338 to 795 of the family's 1533-position model. The record is from RNAcentral.
ACUACGGGAGGCAGCAGUGGGGAAUAUUGCACAAUGGGGGGAACCCUGAUGCAGCGACGCCGCGUGAGUGAAGAAGUAUUUCGGUAUGUAAAGCUCUAUCAGCAGGGAAGAAAAUGACGGUACCUGACUAAGAAGCCCCGGCUAACUACGUGCCAGCAGCCGCGGUAAUACGUAGGGGGCAAGCGUUAUCCGGAUUUACUGGGUGUAAAGGGAGCGCAGACGGCUGUGCAAGUCUGGAGUGAGAGGCGGGGGCCCAACCCCCGGACUGCACUGGAAACUGUAAAGCUGGAGUGCAGGAGAGGUAAGCGGAAUUCCUAGUGUAGCGGUGAAAUGCGUAGAUAUUAGGAGGAACACCAGUGGCGAAGGCGGCUUACUGGACUGCAACUGACGUUGAGGCUCGAAAGCGUGGGGAGCAAACAGGAUUAGAUACCCGGGUAGUC